This 559-nucleotide ribosomal RNA is filed under the name uncultured bacterium. RNAcentral's name for it is "bacterial SSU rRNA". It matches the Rfam family "Bacterial small subunit ribosomal RNA", at positions 119 to 674 of the family's 1533-position model. The record is from RNAcentral.
CGGAACGUGCCCGAUCGUGGGGGAUAACGCAGCAAAAGCUGUGCUAAUACCGCAUACGAUCUACGGAUGAAAGCGGGGGAUCGCAAGACCUCGCGCGGACGGAGCGGCCGAUGGCAGAUUAGGUAGUUGGUGGGGUAAAGGCUCACCAAGCCUGCGAUCUGUAGCUGGUCUGAGAGGACGACCAGCCACACUGGGACUGAGACACGGCCCAGACUCCUACGGGAGGCAGCAGUGGGGAAUUUUGGACAAUGGGCGCAAGCCUGAUCCAGCCAUGCCGCGUGCAGGAUGAAGGCCUUCGGGUUGUAAACUGCUUUUGUACGGAACGAAAAGGUUCUUUCUAAUAAAGAGAGCUCAUGACGGUACCGUAAGAAUAAGCACCGGCUAACUACGUGCCAGCAGCCGCGGUAAUACGUAGGGUGCAAGCGUUAAUCGGAAUUACUGGGCGUAAAGCGUGCGCAGGCGGUGAUGUAAGACAGAUGUGAAAUCCCCGGGCUCAACCUGGGAACUGCAUUUGUGACUGCAUCGCUGGAGUGCGGCAGAGGGGGAUGGAAUUCCGCGU